AGCGAACGCUGGCGGCAGGCCUAACACAUGCAAGUCGAACGAACCUUUCGGGGUUAGUGGCGGACGGGUGAGUAACACGUGGGAACGUGCCUUUAGGUUCGGAAUAACUCAGGGAAACUUGUGCUAAUACCGAAUGUGCCCUUCGGGGGAAAGAUUAAUCGCCUUUAGAGCGGCCCGCGUCUGAUUAGCUAGUUGGUUGAGGUAAUGGCUCACCAAGGCGACGAUCAGUAGCUGGUCUGAGAGGAUGAUCAGCCACAGUGGGACUGAGACACGGCCCAAACUCCUACGGGAGGCAGCAGUGGGGAAUCUUGCGCAAUGGGCGAAAGCCUGACGCAGCCAUGCCGCGUGAAUGAUGAAGGUCUUAGGAUUGUAAAAUUCUUUCACCGGGGACGAUAAUGACGGUACCCGGAGAAGAAGCCCCGGCUAACUUCGUG
Molecule: ribosomal RNA, 434 nt
Filed under: uncultured bacterium
Lineage: Bacteria
Description: partial 16S ribosomal RNA
Rfam family: Bacterial small subunit ribosomal RNA
Source: RNAcentral